Long non-coding RNA from Mercenaria mercenaria, 3562 nucleotides. RefSeq lists it as uncharacterized. The record is from RefSeq and is a predicted model, not a curated record. The transcript has 3 exons. NCBI's taxonomy places the organism in Eukaryota, Metazoa, Mollusca, Bivalvia, Venerida, Veneridae.
CUCAUGUUUAUUUAUAAUUAUUUUUUAAACACUUGCUGAACAGUUCGAUGUUUGCGAUAUACAUUUGUGGUUCAUUUGUUCACUUUCAGGCGUUGCUCUCUGCCUUGCCUUGGUGACUGGAUGUGUUUUCAGCAUUUCCAGUGAAAAGAAUAAAGUCGACUCCACGUCAGAACUAAAUCCUGUCGAAAGAGUUAAUUCCACGACUCUUCAACAUUACCAAAUCAUAAAGAGAAUGAUUCGUUUGGUUCCUAGAAGAAACUGCAACACUUGGUCUCAGUGGAUCAAUGACAACCACCCAUCGUUUUCAAAUAAAACGGACACAGAGUUUGUACCACUGAAGACACGAAAUUCCUUCUGUCCUGUAGCUGUCGGUGGAAAUAUCAGUAAAUUUGAAUGCAAAGAUGAUAAGGGCGAAGCGUUUCAUGGCAACAAAACUCUUCGUGGACUUAAAGGCCAGUUUUAUAUUUUGUGCUAUGAUAUCAAUAUGGGAGUCAAAUGCAUUGCGCUUAAUGCAACAAAAGACCAUUGCCCGGAUAUGUCACUGAGGUACUACUGCAGCUGUCCCACUUCGACAGGUGUAACAACUACUUCAACACUUGCACCGGCAAAAGGAAAAGAGAAUACUACAGUAACCAAAAAUGAAACAGAAAGAAAAGAAGGCUUUCCUUUACUGUGGUGGAUCGUUGUCGCAGUAACAGUUGCUCUCCUGUUUUUGUAUAACACCUGCCUCGCUUUAUGCCUCUACAAGAAAGCCAUGAGGAAAAUUGAAGCAAAGGACAGAAUUACAGCCGUACAUCCACUAUAAAAAUUGGUUGCAAAUAUGAGUUAUAUUUUGCUGCGUACCAUUUACCUGUAUUAUAUAUUUCCGUUACAUUAUAACCACUGUGUAUCAUUAUUUCUUUCUGUUUUCUGUAUCAAACUUAUUUUUUUCUCACUUUUCAAACCAAAUGUUAAGAAUGUAACAGGGUAAUUAAAAUGUCAAACAUUCUUAGUACAAUUAGUAAAAUUGGUCCCAAGACUUAUGCAUUUAAUGGUGACAAUUUAGCUCUAAAGAUAUAACGUAUAACGCAUUGAAUUGCAUAAGUUUGCAAUAGUUAUUAUCCGAAUUAUUUGUCCUGUCAUAGUAAACCAUUUAUCUGAAGAAGCUUUCGUGUGUAUGGGCCCUCCGUAAGGAUUUUAAUUUACCCAACAUACAAAACUUUUUCACCUAUAUAAGAAUACAGUUCGGCAACAAAUGGAGGUUUUAAGAUCGGAUGUAGAAAUCUAGCGGUGUGCCGUAACCAUGGAAAUCGCUACAGAAGCUGAUAAUCGCGGAAACUAAAAAACUUUCUUUUGUCAUAUUUCAAAAAGCAAUGGUAUUAGAAACUUGAUUUUUUCAUAUUUUUAUUAAGUUAUAAAAGGCCUAUUGUUUGGAGUGAUUAUAUUCUAAAUAUCUUAUUAAAUUCUUAAUUGUCGUCAGCACGUGCAAUUUUAGUUAAUAGCAUGUGCAUUCAGUUGUGAACCAACAAGGUGCCUCUUUUAAUCAGAAAAUGUUUUCUGGACUUAAUUACAACUAUGGCUGAUUUUUUGCUUGAAAAUGUUGUAUAAUACGCAUGCAAUUAAAAUUCUAAAAUUUUUGAUACGUCAAUUUAACACCAUUUCAUAUAUUAAUGCAGCGGAUUGCAUGCCAUAUACGUUAUUCAUUCGCUUCCUUUUUCAAUACACAUGAACAAUGAAGUUAGGGAAAAACUCGUUGAAUCUCGGCUUGGAAUAUUUAACAUAUAUAAUAUGAAAAAAAAAUGAUUAUCAAAUUAAUUGUUGGAAAACAUGUGAAUAAAUUAUGUUGUUUUUUGUGACAUUGUUACCUGUCAGUAUUGUAUAGAUACGCUUAACAUAUAAUGCAUGCAUAAAAUUGUUUGUAUUGUUGUUGAUAUUUUUACUAUUACUGUAAGAAUUCAAGUAUUUUAGAUUUCAUACUUCUAUCACUUUAAUAAUUAAUCAUAUAACCGGACUUCUCUCCAUAAUUUAGCGGUACAAUAAUGGGAGUAAACUAAGCCUAGAGUAAAGACUUCCAGUGUUUGUAGAACGGUUCUACCAAAGUGAUGCUAACGUACAUGCUUAUAUGGAAACCUGGUACGCCAUGUUAUUUGUCAAUUGCUAAAUAUCAGAUAACAAUGCUAGAUGCUAAACACCUUAUGCAAAAUGUUUUGAAAACAAAAUGACAUUUAUUAAGUACCAUGGAAGGCUGGAAAGCCGGUGUGCCAUGCUAACUGCCAAAUGCUAAAUGACAACCAGUUAUUGCAAACUGCUAUUUGCUAUAUGCUUAAUGUCAAAUAUUGCCUAUGAAAUGGUACAUUUGUAAUUGUCAAACAAUAAAUGAUAAUUGUUACUUGCAAAUACGAAACAAUAAAUGCCAAAUGCGUAUUGCUAAGUACUUAUUCAUGAAAGAGCUGAAUAUAUUAGUGUAUAAAUGCAUCCCCUAAAUAGUCAUUGGCCUUUGUAACAUAACUUUGUCUCUAUUAAAAAUAUUUCUUAAUAUUUUAGAGUGAAAAGUUUCGAUCAUGUCAUUUCAUAACCCUAAGAACAUGUUAUUGCUUCAAAUCAGGUUGAUAGAACUUCAUAUGGUUUCACGUGAUUAAAAGUAACAGUCAUUAGUAUAAGGGAUACAGAUUAUUAACUCACAAAGUUAAAGCAUUUGACGAGUAUUAUUUGUCAUUUGGCAAUAAUUUUAGGCAUUUAGCAUAAAGGAUAUGGCAUAUGGCAUAUGGCAUUUGAUAUGUAUUGAAGGCCAGUGCGCCAUGAAUAUUGCCAAAUGUUAAAUGACAAUUAUUUAAUGCAAAAUGCUAAUAACUUAAUGCUAAACACCAAAUACUUAAUGCUAAAAUGCCAAUCACUUAAUGCAAAAUGCCAAAUACACAUGUACUUUAUAUAAAAUGCAACAUACCAAAUGCGAUAUGCCUAUGGAAGGUCAAUGCGCAAUGGUAACAGCAAAAAUGUUAAUGCAAAAAUAAAAAAUGCUAUUUCCAAACUGCUCAACUUCAAAUAUUGGCUUUCGAACGGCAAUUGUCAAUGAUAAAUGCUUUUUGAUAAAACUACAAAUGUCAAAAUACUCAUUGCUCUAUUGAAAUAAAGCGCUGAAUAUAUCAGUUAUAUAAUCAUUGCCCUUCGUUUCAUAACAUUUUUCUCUGUUACAUAGUCUAUUAUAUAAUAAACAUUUUACAGCAAAAUGUUUCGGUUCCAUGUCCCUGUAACAUCUGCAACGUUACUGCUUUAAAUUAGACAGGCAGCACAUUUUUCCAAAAUACGUAAAAGUUACAUUCAUAAGUUGAAGAGAUAAAGAUCAAAAAGAUUGAUAAUUUGAGAAUUACCAUUUAUCAUUUGACAAAAAGAAUUUGUUUUUAUCUUCAUCUUCUCGUUCGCAAAUACAUUGUCAGACCAGUAGCCUUGACGAAACUUCUGGUUUGCCGCAGAUCCUCAAUGCCCCCAUACAGUUUCUGGUGCAUUGAGGUAUCCAUCGGCCAAGUCGCAGCUCGCUCAUGGUCAUGCCUUUUUACAUCUCCGAAGUAUAUGCUCCGCAGUCUGA